This is a long non-coding RNA of Prunus mume (Japanese apricot), 1787 nucleotides long. RefSeq lists it as uncharacterized. The record is from RefSeq and is a predicted model, not a curated record. Lineage: Eukaryota; Viridiplantae; Streptophyta; Magnoliopsida; Rosales; Rosaceae.
AUCCAUUCUUUUCUGUUUAUCCAUGGAGUUUACGUUCCCUUUGCUGUCACUGUAAUGUGAGCACUUGUCUAUUAUUGUUGUUGCAGGUCCUUUAAAAUGCCACCACAUGUCUCCAUUCUUCUUGUCCUCCUCAUCGGUGUGAUUCAGCCCCAAAUUCUCAUCUUCCAUUCCCAAUGAGGAUUCAGUCCACGGAAGGAGUUGGUUCUCUGUGGAGGUAGACCCCGUCGAAACUGAUGUUCUGAUUGCAUUGGACAAGGCUUGAAGAGCAUAUGGUUCUUCUUUGAUGACUUCAUCCCCUGUAUAGCACAUCUUGACUUUCCGAGAGUUCAAAGUGAGCACAUUUGUGCUAAUGCAAAUAGCUGCAGGGCACAUGGUGCAAAGAGCGGACAUUUCUUGAGCAAUAUUUGCCUUCUCAGCAGGUAGAAUCUUCUUUCUCCCGUGACUGAUGGCAAGUGCAACAGAAAAAGUUGCUUUCCCUUUAAUAUUUGGGAGGCCAGAAUUGCUGUCUUUCCUUUCAAGCAUGUAAUGGAGGAAAGAUAUUGCAAGAAUGGCAAUAUAGAAUACGAGGGCAGUCAUUUGCAUGCACGUGCAUACCUUGUCAAUUUCAGCCAUUAACUGGGCAUGGUCAGGUGUAAGGGCCUGGUGCUGUGUGUUCCCAGACCAGAACUUACGCAUUGCAGAGAGGACCACAAGUAUUAUUGCGGCACCCAUUAAAAUGGCCCCUUCAACCCAACCGGUCCCUGUGCCUUCCUCCUUGAUACCAAAUCCAAUUGAGAGCACUGCGGAAAUGAAGAGAAGGAAAAUGUUGCAACUUUUGCAGGAUUUUUUGAGGAGUUCGAAAAAGCUUGGAGCUGGAGUCUCUGUUAUCGUGAGUCGAUUAACUCUGGGUCCAGAACAAGCAUCUACAUCGACUACGAGUCCAUUUUCUGAAUCUGCAUGCUGCUGUUUAGCUUCGUCACCACCACCACCACCACCACCACCUUCCACACUCACAUGGACCUCUGUAGAAACUUGAGGCGAUACUGGUGAAAGGGUCACAUGCUCAGCAUUCCAAGCAGCUAAUCAGGUAUGCCAGUAGAUUGCAAUGGGCCGGUAGAUAUACAAUACAAUUGAGGCUAAUAUUGAGCCCCAACAAAAUGGUAAUUAAAUGGGUAAGUCUUAUCAUAUCCAGUUAUUUAAUUUCUUAUCACACUCAACAUCUAGGAAGUAUUUGGAAAAAUGCAACUCCAACUAGGGGUGUUAAACAGGCUGUGCCGGCCCUGCCCGGCCUGUUUAAACUCGUGCUUUUAAUAUAUUCAUGUCGGGCCAGUCCGGCCCAUUUCGUAAAAUCAUUUAUCCUAGUAUGGCUCAAAGCCCAAGUCCACAUUGAAACGGGCCUGGUCGGGCUCAGGCCGGGCCCGUGCUCAUGCUCGGGCCCUAGAACGAACCUUAAUUUGAAUUUUUUUCACUUGAUUUUUUUUUUUCACUGAAAAAUUAUCGUAAUUAAUUUAUAAGUCUAAUUAACCCAACCUUACAUAGAAUCAAACUAGGGACGCUAAUCUUUAAAAAAAAAAAUGAGGAGUUGUUUUAUCUCCAAUUAAUAAUCCAAAAUGGCCUUCAAAGGUACUCAUAAAAUCUAGGGGUGGUUGUGGUACGGUAACCGCGAAUUUUUCUUCGAACCGCAAAUUGACUGACUAUUUGCGGUAAUGUGAUUUUUGAAAUUGCAAAAAUCAGUCGGUUACUGUGAAUUAACAGUUUAAACUGAUUUGAAUAUUUUGAGCCUAAAUUAGACAAUUUUAGAUCUUUAA